UGGGGAAUUUUCCGCAAUGGGCAAAAGCCUGACGGAGCAAUGCCGCGUGGAGGUGGAAGGCCUACGGGUCGUCAACUUCUUUUCUCGGAGAAGAAACAAUGACGGUAUCUGAGGAAUAAGCAUCGGCUAACUCUGUGUCAG
RNAcentral lists this ribosomal RNA (141 nucleotides) under uncultured bacterium. Its description in RNAcentral is "partial 16S rRNA". It matches the Rfam family "Bacterial small subunit ribosomal RNA", at positions 355 to 511 of the family's 1533-position model. The record is from RNAcentral.